GGCUUUGGUGGCUAGCCCGAAUAAGCCACCGGGUUACAAAUCAGAAUUUUAUGCUAGAAUUGUCAGGAGUUUGGCACACCAUUGACAGUUCAAAAUUUGAGAGCCAUUGGCUCAGGAAAGGCCGAUUUGAUUCUGUUAAUGGAAACAAAGAACAAAGAAAAUGUGAUUUUUCGUGUUAGGAGACAGGUGAAAUUUAAACACAGCUUUGUGGUGAACCCGAUAGAAAUUACAGGGGGUCUAACGGCAAUAUGGAAUGAAGAAGUUGAUGUAGUGGUAGAAUCUCCUUCUCGGGAAAUGAUCAACUUGAUAUGUGAAGAUCAUAAUAGCAUAAACAAAAUGCCGAUUACUUGCGUGCAUGCUCCAAAAUCUAUUUCAGCAAAGAUUACAGUUAUGGGAUAAAAUGAGACAAAUCAGUCUUUCUAAUAGCUUACCAUGGGUUUGUUUGGGGGACUUAAAUUAGGUGCUUUACUAUUGGGAGAAGGUUGGCACUAGGAUGGUGGAAAAUUAUACAAUGCAGCGCCUUCUAAAAUUGUUUACAAGAUUGUUCGUUAAUGGAAAUUGACUGCCAAGAGUGUGUUUUUACCUGGUCCAACAACAGAGAAGGGGCUGAUUUGGUUAAGGAGAAGCUGGAUACAAUAUUUUGUUCUCUACAAUGGAGGAUCAUGUUCCCGAAAGCAAAAGCGUACGCUCUCCCAGCAGUUGGGUCAGAUGAUAGCCCUCUCCUACUUGUGAGCAGUGCUGAAUCUGUAAAGAAAAAAAGAGAAUUUCAAUUUGAGACUUUCUAGACUGAAGAUGUGGAAUGUAGAGAAAUAGUUAAACAAGCAUGACAAUCUCACACUCUUCAUGAAGAAGGCCUAAGAGACAAACUAUAGGCUGUAUGUUUUGCUUUGAAAGAAUGGAGUAAGAUGAAGUUCUCCAAUAGCCAUCUUCGCAUAUCAGUUCUAAAGUAAGAGCUUCUAUCCUUAACAAAUAGUGCAAACUCGACUCAAAGCUCUAAUCGGGUAAUGCUCUUAAAAGAAGAAAUUGAAACUUUAAGGAGGAUAGAAGAGAUGUUUUGGAGUUUAAGAUCCCGAAUCAAUUGGUUACAAUGGGAAGAUAAAAACACGAGAUAUUUUUAUGCACCAACUAUUCAAAGGAGGCAGAAAAAAUAGAAUUACUAUGCUAAAGAAUUCAUCGGAGCAGUGGAUACGGGACAAGCAACAACUUCAGAACCUAAUCAUGUCCUUUUUCAAAGAGUUACACACUACGGUAGGGCCUCGAAAUUGCCAACCAGUGCUGGACCAAUGCCCAAUGCUCAUUGGAGAUGAAAUUAAUGAAUGUCUAGUGGUAGAAGUAAUGCUGGAAGAAGUUCAAGUUGAUGUUUUUCAACUUGGUGCGCAGAAAGCUCCUGGUCCAGAUGGUUUAAAUGGAAUUUUCUACCAAUAUCAUUGGGAUAUAAUCAAUAACGGUACUUUUGAGAAAGUUAAGGGUUUUUUUUUUUCGAUCGGGAGUAUUAGAUCUAGCCCUAAACAAAACUCAUAUUACCUUAAUUCCCAAGAUACCCCAUCCAGAAAAACCUGACCAAUAUCGCCCUAUUAGUCUUUGCAAUUUUGCAUAUAAGAUCAUAUCGAAGAUUCUGGCAAAUAAACUGAAAAGAUGGCUGCCUAUGCUGAUUUUAGGGGAACAAAGUGCCUUUGUAAGUGGAAGAAAGCUUUAAGAUAACAUUUAUAUUGUGCAGGAGGUGUUGCACCAAUUGAGAGUGAGGAAAAGGAAAAAACAUUUUCAAGCGGUGUUGAAAUUAGACAUGCAGAAGGCCUAUGACAUAACAGAAUGGGAUUUCCUAGAAGGAUGCCUGCUGAAAAUGGGGUUCUACGCCAAAUGGGUUAACUGGAUUAUGUAAUGUGUCACUACAAUUACUUUUAACAUGAAAUUUAAUGGUGAAAUUCUCCCUUUUUUCAAUCCUACAAGAGUGAUUAGGUAAGGAGACCCGUUAUCUCCCUAUCUCUUCAUUUUGGUGGAAAAUAGCCUGUCCUCUUUGAUGAGUAAAGCUCUAAUGGAUGUGAGUAUAAAGGGAAUAAAACUGAAUAGGUUCUGCCAUACAUUGACCCAUUUAUUAUUUGUAGAUGAUUCAAUUUUCUUCUUGGAUGGAUCCUUACGGGAAUGUCAGAAUGUUGCAGCUAUGAUAAAUCAAUACUAUUAUGCCUCUGGACAAGCUGUAAAUCUAAACAAGUUAGGUAUAUUUUUUUAGCAAAGAAUGUCCCAAUCUAUUAAGGGAGAACAUGGCAAGAGAGUUGAGGGUUCCAGAGCUUGCUAGGACAAGGAAAUACCUUGGAAUCCCUUCUGAUUGGGGAGAUUCGAAAAAGCAGAUAUUUGCAUGGAUUUUAAAUAGGGCAAAUAUGAAAUUGGAAGGCUGGAAAGAACAAAUUAUAUAUAAAGCAGGCAAGGAAAUUCUCUUGAAAAUCAAUGGUACAGGCAUUACCUCAAUAUGCCAUGUUAGUUUUUAAAAUUCCAGUAUCAAUAUGUAAGGCUAUAUAGAAGAAAAUAACUAAUUUCUAGUGGAAAAAUAAUGAAACAAAAGCUGGUUUGCAUUAGAAGAAAUGAGAAAUCAUGAAAUUAAGGAAAGACAGGGGAGGAAUGGGUUUUAGAGACCUACUUACCGUAAACAAGGCCCUCCUGAGUAAAGAAGCUUGGAGGUUGGUUAAGAAUCCGGAUGCUUUGUGGAGUAAAUUAUUAAAAUGGCUAUUUCUUUCGAAAAUAUUUUUGGCAUACUGAUAAAGGUUCUAAGACAUCAUGGGGUUGGCAAAGUUUAGUUCAAGGAAGGGAGGCCAUAGCAGAUUCCGUGAAAUAGUCGAUUGGGAAUGGUCAAAAUGUUAACAUCAGAACAGAUAAAUGGCUGAAGAGAGGACUAAUUGAAGGGUCAGCAAACAGAAAUGAUCCACAACAAGUUUCUGAGUUAAUGAAUUUUGAAGCAGAACAAUGGAAUGAAACAUUGUUAAACAACCUCUUUGAUGAAUAGACCAUUCUAAGGAUGAACUGUUAAACAACCAUUCAGGAGAUCCUUGCAAUCCCAAUUAACCGUCAACUUGCAAUGGAUGAACUGAUAUGGACAGGAACUAAAGAUGGGUCUUUUACGCUGAAAAAUGGCUAUAACAUUCUAAGAGACCGAGCGACGGCCAAUAUUGCAAUAGAACACCCCUCAUCUUCAUACCGAACAUUGACAGACCUAUGGAAGGCUCUAUGGAAAAUGCGAAUCAACCCUAAAGUGAAGAUUUUUAUUUGGAAUGUUUGUCAAAACGCUAUCCCAUCCAAGGAGAAUUUAUGGAAAAGAACAUUUUUAUCUGAUCUGGUAUGUGAACUUUGCCAAGAAAGCAUGGAAACGGCCGAACAUAUCCACCUUCUUUGCCCUUGGACUAAACGGGUAUGGAGUUACCCGAAAAUCAACCUACAAGUGAAUGCACGAGAGGUUACACGCAUUGACAAGUGGCUGGUGCGAUUUAUAAGCAAGGACACGCACCUACCAUCCUUGGAAUUGAUCUCAAACGCCCUAUGACAGAUCUAGAAAGAGAUAAACUAUAUCUUUCGUGGUACAAAGCCGGACGCCUGCAGAGUAGUAGAUCUAGCCAGAUUUCAGCAAGAUAGCUACGAAAAAUGGGGCUUUAUGCAUCCUCAAGCCAAAAAACCAGCAAAAUUAGAGCAAAUCGAGAUACCUCAAACAUAGGAAGCUCUGGCAGCAGGCACUUUAAAAAUCAACGACGAUGGAUCGAUUUGUGAGGGCUCGACGGAAGGAGUGGUCGCCUGCAUCAGACGAGACUCCUUCGGCUGCCUGGUGGACGGUUUCACUAAAGCUGUUUGGGCGAAGUCGAGUUUUCAGCUGGAAACGCUAGCUGUUCUUGAAGCUCUGAAGCACAUAAAAUAGAAGCAGAUGGGCGUGUUUUUGAUCGAGACUGACAGCCAAAGUCUCGUGAAC
RNAcentral lists this long non-coding RNA (3946 nucleotides) under Eucalyptus grandis. RNAcentral describes it as "long non-coding RNA (EGRA_LNC006291)". The record is from RNAcentral. Lineage: Eukaryota; Viridiplantae; Streptophyta; Magnoliopsida; Myrtales; Myrtaceae.